GCAGCCGCGGUAAUACGGAGGAUACAAGCGUUAUCCGGAUUUAUUGGGUUUAAAGGGUGCGCAGGCGGAUCAGUAAGUCAGGGGUGAAAAGCUACUGCUUAACAGUAGUCGUGCCUUUGAUACUGCUGGACUAGAGUGUAAUUGACGUGGUUGGAAUGUGAUGUGUAGCGGUGAAAUGCUUAGAUAUGUCACAGAACGCCGAUCGUGAAGACAGAUCACGAAAUUACUACUGACGCUCAUGCACGAAAGCGUGGGGAUCAAACAGGAUUAGAUACCCC
Molecule: ribosomal RNA, 278 nt
Filed under: uncultured Christensenellaceae bacterium
Lineage: Bacteria; Bacillati; Bacillota; Clostridia; Christensenellales; Christensenellaceae
Description: partial 16S ribosomal RNA
Rfam family: Bacterial small subunit ribosomal RNA
Source: RNAcentral